UCUCUUCAAAAACCCUCAUGCUUCUCUCUUAAAGAAACUUAGUCGCCGCUGAUUGUGUUAUCGGUUCUGGUGGCUCUUUUAACACCAAAAUCGGAAUUUUUUAGUUUUUUCGAGCUGUAUUUUCGUUUGCCUUCGUUUAUGCUACAUAUAGUUUUUUUCUUAACAUAUAUGUCAGUACAAUGUAAUAAUUUUUUUUUUUAGUUUUCUCGUAACAUGUACCCUACUACUUUUUUUUUCCAACAGUUUAUCAUAUACUAACUCUUUAUGUAAACUCGCAUGUUAAUCAUAAAAAAAACAUUAGUUAAAUAUUUGACCUCAAAUAUAAUAAUGACAUGCACAGUACAUUGGAUAUAUGUUUGGAUGUUUUUAUAAUGUUGAGGUACUUGUGGUUUCGGCAAAUGUGAUUUGGUGGUCCCUUUUUGGUCAGCGUUAUUCUUGUUAAAAAUCUCUCUUUUGGCCCUUUCCUUU
Long non-coding RNA from Arabidopsis thaliana (thale cress), 468 nucleotides. RefSeq annotates it as other RNA. Lineage: Eukaryota; Viridiplantae; Streptophyta; Magnoliopsida; Brassicales; Brassicaceae. The record is from RefSeq. The transcript has a single exon.